UUCAAGAAAUUAAAUACAAAUCCAAGCGCACACACGCUGCAUCUCUUUGUAACGUAAUUUGGUACAAGUACAAAUAAACAAACAAGAGGAAUCCCAUUUUGUCGCAACCAGCUUGUGAAGUUCACGCGCGUUGACAGCGUGGACCAAAGUUUUGAUGGAAAACCCAAGGCAGGCCGAAUCCUGCUAUACUUAAGCCGGCCCAAACUCAGUACACUCAUUGGCCUGCUCUACCCUUAAUCACCUUCUAACGUAGCAGCUCAAUCUAUUCAAGGCGCAUAUCCAUCAUUUGACCACCCACAGUUUUGGGCUUCCAAGCCCAAAAAUAUUUUUACGAGGGCCAAAAAUCUGCUUUGAAGAUACCCGAGAUGGCACAAAACUGAUGGGCUGGCUAGUGGUAUAGAAUUUUAUAACAGAAUAUAAGCGCGGAUUUUCUUCUAUCCCUUUUUUUGCGUAUGGGACCAUUGCUUUUUUUCUCUUUAUUUUUUUUUUAUCUAACGAAAUUCUCGACCGGUUGGUACAAUAUCAUUGCUCGGUCACAUGGUUGGAAGAUCAGCGAAUAGGUGCAAUCAACUGACACACAAACAGCUGCCACCUGGCACCACCUGCAAGUUGCCAAAAAAAAUUAGAUGUAAAAGUAGGCUGACAGCAAAUUGCAUGUGACAUAAUUGGAUCAAAGGACGGACUCAUCACAAUGAUAAACGGUCACACUUAACUGAGACAACUAUCCACAAGACUGUUUUACAAGCCAAUUAAAAACUAUCCCCCAGGAAAAGCAAAGCGUCCUUUUUAAAAUUCAAGAAAAAAG
Molecule: long non-coding RNA, 805 nt
Filed under: Nicotiana tabacum (common tobacco)
Lineage: Eukaryota; Viridiplantae; Streptophyta; Magnoliopsida; Solanales; Solanaceae
Description: long non-coding RNA (NTAB_LNC016438)
Source: RNAcentral